GAUGAACGCUAGCGGCAGGCUUAAUACAUGCAAGUCGUGGGGCAGCACAGUAUAGCAAUAUAUGGGUGGCGACCGGCAAACGGGUGCGGAACACGUACGCAACCUUCCUACAGGCGGGGAAUAGCCCAGAGAAAUUUGGAUUAAUACCCCAUAAAAUUUUAGUAGAUGGCAUCAUCUUAUUAUUAAAGAUUUAUCACCUGAAGAUGGGCGUGCGGCUGAUUAGGUAGNGGUCGGGGUAACGGCCCACCAAGCCUACGAUCAGUAGCUGAUGUGAGAGCAUGAUCAGCCACACGGGCACUGAGACA
Molecule: ribosomal RNA, 305 nt
Filed under: uncultured bacterium
Lineage: Bacteria
Description: bacterial SSU rRNA
Rfam family: Bacterial small subunit ribosomal RNA
Source: RNAcentral